Molecule: long non-coding RNA, 475 nt
Organism: Cucumis sativus (cucumber)
Lineage: Eukaryota; Viridiplantae; Streptophyta; Magnoliopsida; Cucurbitales; Cucurbitaceae
Exons: 2
Source: RefSeq, a predicted model, not a curated record
UCCUUCGCGUCGUCGAUCGUAACCCUCUCUUUUGUCGAAACCAUCAUCGGUCGUAGCCUCCACUUGCACAGCACCGCCGGACAUCAUCGCGCUUGACAGUCAAGGAUUCAAGCCAUGACAAUUUUCUUUUCGCGAGCCACACGUCCAAGCCGCGUCAGUUCAAGCCGUGUCCCUUCACCGAGCCGCGUGAGUCAUCUCUGUUGAUCCAAGCCGUUCCAUGUAAGCCGUACGCGAGCCAUACACAACUGAGUCGAUCCUGUGUGAGCCGUAUGCGAGCCGUGAGUCUCAAGACCCGAGCCGAAGCCUUGCUAGCCGAGCCACCUUCAGUUUUAGCCGUCUGCAACAUAUUUAAGCCCUUGGUUAAGGUGUGGUUGAGGAAUUGAAUUGUGCAAAUUUCAAUUUAAGGUUGUAUUGAGAUCAACUUUAAAUCUUUGGGGUAAGUUUGAUUGAAUUGGUUGCCUAAUUAAACAGUAAA